AGUCUGGUGCCAGCAGCCGCGGUAAUUCCAGCUCCAAUAGCGUAUAUAAAAGUUGCUGCAGUUAAAAAGCUCGUAGUUGGAUCUGGGGCUUGAGGUCGCUGUCUAUCGUUUCGGCGAUGACGGUGAUGCUCAGCUCUGCUUGCCGGUGACUGUUGCGGUGUUCUUCACUGAGCGCUGUAGCAGCACGGCACGUUUACUUUGAAAAAAUUAGAGUGCUCAAAGCGUGCCUGUCGCUUGAAUAAUGUUGCAUGGGAUAAUGGAAUAGGACCUCGGUUCUAUUUUGUUGGUUUUCGGAGCUUGAGGUAAUGAUUAAGAGGGACGAACGGGGGCAUUCGAAUUGCGGUGUUAGAGGUGAAAUUCUUGGAUCGCCGCAAGACGGACUACUGCGAAAGCAUUUGCCAAGAACGUUUUCAUUAAUUAAGAACGAAAGUCAGAGGUUCGAAGACGAUCAGACACCGUCCUAGUUCUGACCAUAAACGAUGCCGACCAGCGAUCCGUAGUGGUUGCUUUAUGGACCCUACGGGCAGCCUCCGGGAAACCAAAGUAUUUGGGUUCCGGGGGAAGUAUGGUUGCAAAGCUGAAACUUAAAGGAAUUGACGGAAGGGCACACCAGGAGUGGAGCCUGCGGCUUAAUUUGACCCAACACGGGAAAACUCACCCGGUCCGGACACCGUAAGGAUUGACAGACUGAUAGCUCUUUCUUGAUUCGGUGGAUGGUGGUGCAUGGCCGUUCUUAGUUGGUGGAGUGGUUUGUCUGGUUAAUUCCGAUAACGAACGAGACUCUAGCCUGCUAAGUAGUAUUGCUAUUGUUAUAUGGUUGACACUUCUUAGAGGGACAAGUGGCAUUUAGCCACGCGAAAUUGAGCAAUAACAGGUCUGUGAUGCCCUUAGAUGUCCGGGGCCGCACGCGCGCUACACUGGAGAAGUCAGCGUGUGUUAUCCAAGUCCGAAAGGACUGGGUAAUCCGUUGAACCUUCUUCGUGCUUGGGACUGUGGCUUGGAACUAUUCCACAUGAACGAGGAAUUCCUAGUAAUUGCAAGUCAUAAGCUUGCGUUGAUUACGUCCCUGCCCUUUGUACACACCGCCCGUCGCUACUACCGAUUGAAUGGUUUAGCAAGGUCCUCGGAUCGUGGCCGUAGGGGCACGCAAGUGUUUCUGCGGUUUGCGAGAAGACGACCAAACUUGAUCAUUUAGA
RNAcentral lists this ribosomal RNA (1196 nucleotides) under metagenome. Its description in RNAcentral is "SSU rRNA". It matches the Rfam family "Eukaryotic small subunit ribosomal RNA", at positions 558 to 1777 of the family's 1831-position model. The record is from RNAcentral.